Molecule: non-coding RNA, 26 nt
Filed under: Homo sapiens (human)
Lineage: Eukaryota; Metazoa; Chordata; Mammalia; Primates; Hominidae
Source: RNAcentral
UGAGCGUGUGUACCAGUGCAGCUGGG